AUGCCAGACUCCUACGGGAGGCAGCAGUAAGGGAUAUUGGUCAAUGGGGGAAACCCUGAACCAGCAACGCCGCGUGAGGGAAGACGGUUUUCGGAUUGUAAACCUCUGUUCUCUGUGAAGAUGAUGACGGUAGCAGAGGAGGAAGCUCCGGCUAACUACGUGCCAGCAGCCGCGGUAAUACGUAGGGGGCAAGCGUUAUCCGGAAUUACUGGGUGUAAAGGGAGCGUAGACGGUUAAGUAAGUCUGGAGUGAAAGGCCGGGGCCCAACCCCGGGACUGCUCUGGAAACUAUUUAACUUGAGUGCAGGAGAGGUAAGCGGAAUUCCUAGUGUAGCGGUGAAAUGCGUAGAUAUUAGGAGGAACACCAGUGGCGAAGGCGGCUUACUGGACUGUAACUGACGUUGAGACUCGAAAGCGUGGGGAGCAAACAGGAUUAGAUACCCCUGUAGGU
This 450-nucleotide ribosomal RNA is filed under the name uncultured bacterium. Its description in RNAcentral is "bacterial SSU rRNA". It matches the Rfam family "Bacterial small subunit ribosomal RNA", at positions 328 to 794 of the family's 1533-position model. The record is from RNAcentral.